Molecule: unclassified non-coding RNA, 177 nt
Filed under: uncultured Trichoderma
Lineage: Eukaryota; Fungi; Ascomycota; Sordariomycetes; Hypocreales; Hypocreaceae
Description: sequence contains ITS2
Source: RNAcentral
CAACCCUCGAACCCCCUCCGGGGGGGUCGGCGUUGGGGAUCGGGAACCCCUAAGACGGGAUCCCGGCCCCGAAAUACAGUGGCGGUCUCGCCGCAGCCUCUCAUGCGCAGUAGUUUGCACAACUCGCACCGGGAGCGCGGCGCGUCCACGUCCGUAAAACACCCAACUUCUGAAAUG